The sequence is a non-coding RNA, 75 nucleotides long. It matches the Rfam family "ASpks TB sRNA". The record is from Rfam.
CUUCAGCGAGCCGAGCCACAACGGCCGGUCGGUGUGUCGUCCUUGGCCGUAGGUGGCCAGGAUUGCCUGUGCUUC